GAUGAACGCUGACAGCAUGCUUAACACAUGCGAGUCAACUUGAAUUUGGGUUUUUAACUUAGGUUUGGGUGGCGGACGGGUGAGUAACGCGUAAAGAACUUGCCUCACAGCUAGGGACAACAUUUGGAAACGAAUGCUAAUACCUAAUAUUAUGAUAAUAGGGCAUCCUAUAAUUAUGAAAGCUAUAAGCGCUGUGAGAGAGCUUUGCGUCCCAUUAGCUAGUUGGAGAGGUAACGGCUCACCAAGGCGAUGAUGGGUAGCCGGCCUGAGAGGGUGAUCGGCCACAAGGGGACUGAGACACGGCCCUUACUCCUACGGGAGGCAGCAGUGGGGAAUAUUGGACAAUGGACCGAGAGUCUGAUCCAGCAAUUCUGUGUGCACGAUGAAGUUUUUCGGAAUGUAAAGUGCUUUCAGUUGGGAAGAAACAAAUGACGGUACCAACAGAAGAAGUGACGGCUAAAUACGUG
RNAcentral lists this ribosomal RNA (467 nucleotides) under uncultured bacterium. RNAcentral's name for it is "partial 16S ribosomal RNA". It matches the Rfam family "Bacterial small subunit ribosomal RNA", at positions 28 to 507 of the family's 1533-position model. The record is from RNAcentral.